Molecule: non-coding RNA, 82 nt
Organism: Araneus ventricosus
Lineage: Eukaryota; Metazoa; Arthropoda; Arachnida; Araneae; Araneidae
Source: the annotation of a GenBank genome assembly
GCAACCGUGGCCGCGUGUUUAAGGCAGUGGUCUUGAAAUCCUUUGGGUUUCAUCCGCACAUGUUCGAAUCCUGUGAGCUGCA